RNAcentral lists this ribosomal RNA (497 nucleotides) under uncultured bacterium. RNAcentral describes it as "partial 16S ribosomal RNA". It matches the Rfam family "Bacterial small subunit ribosomal RNA", at positions 28 to 507 of the family's 1533-position model. The record is from RNAcentral.
GACGAACGCUGGCGGCGUGCCUAAUACAUGCAAGUUGAGCGAUGAAGAUUGGUGCUUGCACCAAUUUGAAGAGCAGCGAACGGGUGAGUAACGCGUGGGGAAUCUGCCUUUGAGCGGGGGACAACAUUUGGAAACGAAUGCUAAUACCGCAUAACAACUUUAAACAUAAGUUUUAAGUUUGAAAGAUGCAAUUGCAUCACUCAAAGAUGAUCCCGCGUUGUAUUAGCUAGUUGGUGAGGUAAAGGCUCACCAAGGCGAUGAUACAUAGCCGACCUGAGAGGGUGAUCGGCCACAAUGGGACUGAGACACGGCCCAAACUCCUACGGGAGGCAGCAGUAGGGAAUCUUCGGCAAUGGACGAAAGUCUGACCGGGCAACGCCGCGUGAGUGAAGAAGGUUUUCGGAUCGUAAAACUCUGUUGGUAGGGAAGAACGUUGGUGAGAGUGGAAAGCUCAUCAAGUGACGGUAACUACCCAGAAAGGGACGGCUAACUACGUG